CCGACACCCCCAGACUGAACUGAAAGAGACCACAGGUGUGAUCAGAACCAACAGGUCCAGAAGUUAAAAGCUCCGCCUCCUCAGUACUCUGUACAUUUAGGAACCGAGGACUGGAUCAGAAGUUCUGGACCAGGACUACAGGUUUCCUGUUGGAYCCAGCAGACCCGGUCCAGACUGACCUGCAGGUCUGGGUCAUCAGACAGGAUGAAACCCGGGUCCAUCAGGGACACAGUGAAGUACAGCAGCACCGACACCAGAACCAGCAGGACGAACAGAACCGGCUGCACCAGCUGACCCGUCUCCUCCUGCUUCCUCAGCUCUGUCGGAACAGAACCGAGCUGAMGAUCAGAACCACAAACAACGAGCCGUCCGAACCGGUCCGGAUUGUCAGAACCCACCUGUAUCGUGAAGGAAGAGGAUCAGCGUUACGACCCACGUCAGAACCACAUGAGCCGUUCUCACCAGAAAACCCGAACCGAACACAUUCUUGAACAUGGUCCUAGCAUGUUAGCACCUCCAUCGGAACCUUCAGAUGGACCGGGGGGAGGGGGGGGCACCGAACCACCGAACCACCCGCUAAUGUUGUUAGCAAAACCUGACGGAGACGAAGCACUUAUAGGAUAAUUUCUCUGUUAUUUUAACAUUUAUUCUUCAUAUAAAUCUGUAUUUAUCAACGGAAUGAGUCAAAUACUGAGUAAAUGAUCCAAAACCGGAGAAAUGUGAAAGAUUUGGGUCGAACCGUCAGUAUUUGGACAGAAACCGUUAGCCUUCCUGUGGAUGUGUUCAGUCUGAUCAGUGAGCAGCCUGAUUGGUUAGCGGAGGUCACGUGACUGCUGAACACCAAUCCAGGACGAGAGGCUGCUGUGACGCAGCACGGCGGCCGCCAUCUUACUCAGGGAAGUCUGGAGAAAUUAUCCAAAACAAGUAAAACAUCCGUUCAGUUAAA
This is a long non-coding RNA of Austrofundulus limnaeus, 946 nucleotides long. RefSeq lists it as uncharacterized. The record is from RefSeq and is a predicted model, not a curated record. NCBI's taxonomy places the organism in Eukaryota, Metazoa, Chordata, Actinopteri, Cyprinodontiformes, Rivulidae. The transcript has 2 exons.